AUGGCGCUAAACUGCAUGUACAUCUUGUCGGAGGCGCUCCCCUUCAUCCAGCGUUUCAAGGGCAAGAUGGUGGUGGUGAAGUACGGCGGCGCGGCCAUGAAUUCGUCGGAGUUGCAGGCGUCGGUGAUCUGCGACCUGGUCACUAGUGCAGAACCGGCCUUUAUGGGUCCUCCUCUCCUAUGUUGGCCUGCACCCCGUGCUCGUGCACGACGAUGGUCCGGAGAUAAAUUCCUGGUUGUAGCACGUCGGCGUCAGUUGGUGCUCAUCAACAAGGUCAAGAAGCAGCUCGUCUCCCUCAUCAGCCUCGCCGGUGCCACCACGGUCGGCCUCUGCGGCAAGGACGCGCACCUCCUCACCACGCCCCUCUCCCCCAAUGCCACAGCCCUCGGGUUUGUCUGCGAGGUGACGUGCAUAGACUCAUCUGUGCUCCACCCAAUCAUCGCAUCCGGCCACAUCCCGGUGAUCGCCACCGUGGCCGCCGACGAGACCGGCCUGCAACAUCAACGCCAACAAUGUGACGGGGGAGAUCGCAGCUACCAUAUGCGCCGAGAAGAUGUUGCUGAUCACUGA
This 570-nucleotide ribosomal RNA is filed under the name Triticum aestivum (bread wheat). RNAcentral's name for it is "partial small subunit ribosomal RNA". The record is from RNAcentral. Lineage: Eukaryota; Viridiplantae; Streptophyta; Magnoliopsida; Poales; Poaceae.